RNAcentral lists this ribosomal RNA (468 nucleotides) under uncultured bacterium. RNAcentral describes it as "partial 16S ribosomal RNA". It matches the Rfam family "Bacterial small subunit ribosomal RNA", at positions 28 to 523 of the family's 1533-position model. The record is from RNAcentral.
GAUGAACGCUGGCGGCGUGCCUAACACAUGCAAGUCGAGCGAUUUACUUCGGUAAAGAGCGGCGGACGGGUGAGUAACGCGUGGGUAACCUGCCCUGUACACACGGAUAACAUACCGAAAGGUAUGCUAAUACGAGAUAAUAUACUUUUAUCGCAUGGGAGAAGUAUCAAAGCUUUUGCGGUACAGGAUGGACCCGCGUCUGAUUAGCUAGUUGGUAGGGUAACGGCUUACCAAGGCGACGAUCAGUAGCCGACCUGAGAGGGUGAUCGGCCACAUUGGAACUGAGACACGGUCCAAACUCCUACGGGAGGCAGCAGUGGGGAAUAUUGCACAAUGGGCGAAAGCCUGACGGAGCAACGCCGCGUGAGCGAUGAAGGCCCUCGGGUCGUAAAGCUCUGUCCUCAAGGAAGAUAAUGACGGUACUUGAGGAGGAAGCCCCGGCUAACUACGUGCCAGCCGCCGCCGUAA